GUUAGCGGCGGACGGGUGAGUAACACGUGGGCAACCUGCCUGUAAGACUGGGAUAACACCGGGAAACCGGUGCUAAUACCGGAUAAUCCUUUUCCUCUCAUGAGGAAAAGCUGAAAGACGGUUUCGGCUGACACUUACAGAUGGGCCCGCGGCGCAUUAGCUAGUUGGUGAGGUAACGGCUCACCAAGGCGACGAUGCGUAGCCGACCUGAGAGGGUGAUCGGCCACACUGGGACUGAGACACGGCCCAGACUCCUACGGGAGGCAGCAGUAGGGAAUCUUCCGCAAUGGACGAAAGUCUGACGGAGCAACGCCGCGUGAGCGAUGAAGGCCUUCGGGUCGUAAAGCUCUGUUGUUAGGGAAGAACAAGUAUCGGAGUAACUGCCGGUACCUUGACGGUACCUAACCAGAAAGCCACGGCUAACUACGUGCCAGCAGCCGCGGUAAUACGUAGGUGGCAAGCGUUGUCCGGAAUUAUUGGGCGUAAAGCGCGCGCAGGCGGUCCUUUAAGUCUGAUGUGAAAGCCCACGGCUCAACCGUGGAGGGUCAUUGGAAACUGGGGGACUUGAGUGCAGAAGAGGAAAGCGGAAUUCCACGUGUAGCGGUGAAAUGCGUAGAGAUGUGGAGGAACACCAGUGGCGAARGCGGCUUUCUGGUCUGUAACUGACGCUGAGGCGCGAAAGCGUGGGGAGCAAACAGGAWUUAGAUACCCUGGUAGUCCACGCCGUAAACGAUGAGUGCUAAGUGUUAGAGGGUUUCCGCCCUUUAGUGCUGCAGCUAACGCAUUAAGCACUCCGCCUGGGGAGUACGGCCGCAAGGCUGAAACUCAAAGGAAUUGACGGGGCCCGCACAAGCGGUGGAGCAUGUGGUUAAUUCGAAGCAACGCGAAGAAACCUUACCAGGUCUUGACAUCCUCUGACACUCCUAGAGAUAGAACGGUCCCCUUCCGGGGACAGAGUGACAGUGAGCAUGAUGUCGUCAGCUCG
RNAcentral lists this ribosomal RNA (985 nucleotides) under Neobacillus sp. RNAcentral's name for it is "bacterial SSU rRNA". The record is from RNAcentral. Lineage: Bacteria; Bacillati; Bacillota; Bacilli; Caryophanales; Bacillaceae.